Molecule: long non-coding RNA, 2176 nt
Organism: Marmota monax (woodchuck)
Lineage: Eukaryota; Metazoa; Chordata; Mammalia; Rodentia; Sciuridae
Exons: 2
Source: RefSeq, a predicted model, not a curated record
ACUGAGCUGAGUAUAGAGGCUGUGCCUUCUGAAUAUUCAUCCAAUUCUCUUUCCACUGCAUUACACUGCCAGUCAUCUGGUUCUGCUGGUUCGACUAUACCCAGACAUUCCAGAUUUUAACUUCAUGAAUCCAGAACUUUCAGUGCCUCUUGCCAAAGGAAUUCAUAUGGACACCAAUCUGCCCAGCAGUUCCUCUGCAGGAUGUCUGCACAAACGCCCUCUGUUCACAGCACCACGUCAUUCUCCUGAAAGCUGAAGUUCUUCUGAUUCAGAUGUCUUCUGAGUGUCUUCUCUUUAGAAACUUCUGGGAAAGCUUCAUGAUGCCCCAUCAUUCCUCAAUGGAUAAGUCAAUGAAGUGUGCACACGCACUCUGAGUUUCUGAAGGCCUCAAUAUAAUCAUGAUCACACCUCCCUAAAUUCCUCCCAUCUAGUGAACUUUAAUUCCUUUAACAAUUAUCUUCAGUCUUCACUAUGAUUUAGAGAUAGGUAAAUAUAGACAGGCCAUAUGUCUCUUGACUGGGAAAAAGACAUCUCUCAUGAGGUAGGCCUAUCUAUUGUCUUUCUACUUAGCACAGAUGAAAGAAAAGUCACGAUGAAUUACUUCUUUUCUUUUUACGUGCCCUGUUAAACCCUGAACAACAAAGAUAAAACUGAGUUUCCUGCAAGGUUUACCUACUGACCCACUUAUUUUUCAGGAUCCAGCCAACUGAAUGGUCCCAGACAAGGCACGUUUCAGGGGCUGGAGGAGUUGGAUAGAGAGGAAAAGAAGUUCAAAGCCACACACAAUGCUCCAGAGCCAGAUGAAUGUGAUACAACCCAUUAACUUUUCUUUUUGGUUUGGUUGUCAGGAGGCCAAGAAUUAGAUAUUUAUUGUAAACUCACUGUGAGUAUCUCUCUAUGAUCUCCCUUCCCAGAUAUGUGGGGAUAUGCGAUGUUGGUGGUUAGAGUAAAUUGCCAUGUGCCUGGGGAACUGAACUGCGCACUGGGAUCUGACCCUUCAUGCUCAUGAUUGCAAUUCAGGAAGCCCAAGAAUGCCAAAGGCUGUGUUUGGAGUUGUGAUCUGAGUACCAGAAACCAAAAUGCAAAUACUAACAAAUAUGAAAACAAAAAGACAUCAUUCGUGGAGCAGUGCAAAGCAAGUACAAAAGAUGUGAGAAUUAUUUAUGAUGUCUGAAAUUUCUACUGUGUGCGUUCUGGAAGCAGUCAAAGAUGCUACAGUCCUGAGACACUGAGUAAUUUUCUCCUACCUUUCAUCACAUUUUUGAUCUCUGUGCCAUGUGUUCUACCAGGAAGCAAGAGGGAACUUCCAUCCACACAUUUAACAGUGUACAACACUUGGCAGUUCCUAAUGGCUCUCACACAGUGCCUCUUCUGGUCCUUAUUCAUGUACAGCUUGUGCAGGUCUUCCAGUAACAACUUCCCAGAGUUCCAAUACCUCCAUUUCUUCAAUAACUUUUCAAAACUAUUAUUGAUUUUUACCAAAAAGUCAAUAUUUUCAAAUUAGCAGUAGACUUGUCUACCCCAGAUAAGUGUUUGUUUUCCUCUUGUUUGUGUUUUAUGAAUAUCUAUAAAGCUGUAAUUACCAUCACCAUCUAAAGUCACACGAUGACUAUUGAGCCAUGCAAUAAAUAUUCACUGUUGAUAGAGUUAUGGGUUAUUCUAAACAAUUCAGAGGAAAGCUAUGAUCUAGGAAGCAAAAUAUUAACUGGAUCGAUCAUUGAUUAGUAAUGCAAUGCUAAUGGCAAAUAACUGCAUGGUAUUUAUAUUUAUAAAAUACUUUUUCAAUACUUAUGUCAUUUGAACCACACAUCUUACUAAAGUAGUGCAGCACAAAUUCUUGUUAUUUCCUAUUUACAGGUGAAGAAAUUGAGACUCUGCGUUAGGUGACUUGCUCAGGAUCAACAAGUUUUAAAUGUCAGAGCAAGGACUCAGAACCAGGACAUAUGGGCUUCAAGUCAAGUAUUCAUUCUACCACUAAAUCAUGGUGGCCUUUUCCUGUCUUGAGCUUACAUCAGAAUUAAAAUCUCAGACUAAAGGGCACUCACCAUUUUGCUGGCACAACUGAGCAGCUGAAUGUCACUGUUGAUGCUUGCAAUCUUGAGUUUUAAGUUUCAUGAAUGCAUGGUCUUUACAUCUCCUGAAUGACUUUUAUAUAUAAUAAAUAUCAGAGACAGUG